Molecule: transfer RNA, 65 nt
Filed under: Nesodiprion biremis
Lineage: Eukaryota; Metazoa; Arthropoda; Insecta; Hymenoptera; Diprionidae
Description: tRNA-Pro
Source: RNAcentral
CAAAAAAUAUUUUAUAAAAAAUAUUAAUUUUGGAGAUUAAUGAUAGAAAAUUUUUCUUUUUUUGA